RNAcentral lists this ribosomal RNA (460 nucleotides) under uncultured bacterium. Its description in RNAcentral is "partial 16S ribosomal RNA". It matches the Rfam family "Bacterial small subunit ribosomal RNA", at positions 338 to 795 of the family's 1533-position model. The record is from RNAcentral.
CCUACGGGAGGCAGCAGUGAGGAAUAUUGGUCAAUGGACGAGAGUCUGAACCAGCCAAGUAGCGUGAAGGAUGACUGCCCUAUGGGUUGUAAACUUCUUUUAUAUGGGAGUAAAAUGUUCCACGUGUGGGAUUUUGUAUGUACCAUAUGAAUAAGGAACGGCUAACGCCGUGCCAGCAGCCGCGGUAAUACGGAGGAUCCGAGCGUUAUCCGGAUUUAUUGGGUUUAAAGGGAGCGCAGGUGGAUUGUUAAGUCAGUUGUGAAAGUCUGCGGCUCAACCGUAACAUUGCAGUUGAAACUGGCAGUCUUGAGUACAGUAGAGGUGGGCGGAAUUCGUGGUGUAGCGGUGAAAUGCUUAGAUAUCACGAAGAACUCCGAUGGCGAAGGCAGUUCACUGGACUGCAACUGACACUGAGGCUCGAAAGUGUGGGUAUCAAACAGGAUUAGAUACCCCAGUAGUC